CGUAAUAACAGAAACUAACCAGGAUUCCCUUAGUAACGGCGAGUGAACUGGGAUACCAAUAUAUUUAUGCGUCUCUGGCGCAUAUUUUUAGCCCGUCGAUACUAUCCUAGCGUAUUACCGGUUUCGGCCGGUAGCCCAAUACGCGGGAAUUGUAGCAUCGUAAUAAAAUAUACACCAUGCCUGCGUCGCAAACGUAUAUACACGUAUACUCACACACACAUACUCGUACGCGUACACACCCCUUGCAAACACACAGCGCUCCCGCGUUGGAAAGCAAGUCUAUAUCCUCUUUGGAUAUGCCAUAGAGUGUGACAGCCACGUUUGAAACACCCUACGUACCGUACACACACACAUACGUAAAAAUACGCGCUGCUUCGCAUACGCAUACCGUAUAUAACCUGAGUCGAGUUAUUU
This 414-nucleotide ribosomal RNA is filed under the name Ammonia sp. 132. RNAcentral describes it as "partial 28S ribosomal RNA". Lineage: Eukaryota; Foraminifera; Rotaliida; Rotaliidae. The record is from RNAcentral. RNAcentral also lists the same sequence under 1 other name.